Molecule: long non-coding RNA, 2042 nt
Organism: Acanthochromis polyacanthus (spiny chromis)
Lineage: Eukaryota; Metazoa; Chordata; Actinopteri; Pomacentridae
Exons: 2
Source: RefSeq, a predicted model, not a curated record
CCACCACCACCCCGGCCCUGCUGCUGCUGCUGCUGCCGCCCUGUAGUCCGACCUCCAUCGGCUGCCUCCAAACCUCCCUGUGCUGCUUCCACCUCCAGCCCACGGUCCAGCCACAGCCGGGUCAGAACCAGCCAGCUGAAUCACCAAAAUACACCAUUUAUCAGCCGGAAACUGAACACAUAAAGAGUCAUCUGCAGGCCUUAAUGUGAGGAACAUGAUGAAUAACUGAAGAGUUUAUUUGUAAAAACAGAUAACUCUGUUUUGCAAAACUUUUCUUUUUAUUGUUUACUUGAGAUAAUAUCAAUCAAACUGAAGUUAAGUGGAUUUGAAUCAGUAGAAAAUACAUAAAAGUAAAUUUUUUUUAUUAUUAUUUCAAGUAAACAAUGGAAAAAGAUGUUUUCUGAAAAUGUCUAAAAAUGGAAUGAUCUGUUUUUGCAAAUAAACUCUUCAACUUCACACAGCAGAGUUACAACAACAGAGUUUGACAGGAAGUCUCAGUUUGUGUCUCUUAAAAAGGACAGAUUCAACUUAAUUUAUGUUGUGGAAGUUCAGAGGUCCAGAGAGGAUGAGGAGGCCGACACAGAGGGACACCCUGGAGAUGAGAUGAUUGAGGCUGAGAGGAAAGUUCACAGGAGAAGUGACUCCAGCAGAGCAGCAGUAGAUGCCAGCAUCAUUCUGAGGGUUCUCUCUGAUCUCUGUAGAUACUGUAGGUGGCAGAAGAUCAGAUUAAGAUCACAGACCAACAUGGAACUGGUCUGCUGAGUCAGAGUAGAAGAUAUCUAACCUGGACCAGAGCAGAGUCCUGGUAGAUCUUCCUCCUCCAGCGUCUGAUUGUCUGAAGGUCAGAUUAGGGUGUGGUAAGAUCUGAACCUGAAGAUGGGCUCAGACCUGCAGAGGUUGAAGGAGAACCUGGACCAAAGGUGGUUCUGCUCUAACCUGUAGGAUCGUUUGGGAUCAUUUACAAACACGGAAACAAUGAACAGAAAAUUUAAUCAGAAACAGCAGGAGAAAGUUAGAAGGUUGACUUCAGAGUUAUCAGUGAUGUGGUUCCUCCUGACUCUUCUCUGGUGGAUCCUCUGGUGGAUCCUAUCAUAGACCCUCUGGUGGAUCCUCUGGUAGAUCCUGUCAUAGAUCCUCUGGUGGAUCCUCUGGUAGAUCCUGUCAUAGAUCCUCUGGUGGAUCCUCUGGUGGAUAUUCUGGUGGAUCCUCUGGUGGAUCCUCUGGUGGAUCUUCUGGUGGAUCCUCUGGUGGAUCCUCUGGUGGAUCCUCUCAUGGACCCUCUGGUAGAUCCUCUGGUAGAUCCUGUCAUAGAUCCUCUGGUGGAUCCUUUGGUGGAUCCUUUGGUAGAUCCUCUGGUGGAUCCUCUAGUAGAUCCUGUCAUAGAUCCUCUCAUAGACCCUCUACUACAUCUUCCAGUGGAUCUUCUCGUAGAUCCUCCGGUAGAUCCACUCAUAGACCCUCUGGCUGUGGUUGGCUGUCGGCUGUAGGCGUGUCCUGGUGGAUGAAGCUUGUUUCCUGACUGCCUCCUGCUUGGCCUUUGACCCUCCUGCUCCCACUCCCGCCUCGCUCCCCGGGCUUUUAUUGUGAAGUUCCUGUCUGUCUGCAGCAGUUGCUCACUUCCUGUCUGUUCUGUUUGUCCAUAAGUCUACAUCCUGUCUGAACUCCGAGCAGCUCCUGGAUCGUUUUAACUUUGAAGCUCUGAGGAACAGUGAGCUGCCGGUGGACUUCAGAGGGUUAACAUCAGAUAGAACACCAGGACUUUGUUUUGCUUUGUUUUGUUUAUUUUGAUGAGUUUUGAACAAUUUGGUUGUAAUUUUGGACACAUUUUGUGGAAUUUUGAACCAUUUUUGCAUCAUUUUAAACAAGUUUUGAUGUGUUUUUGGACCAACUUCAGUUGUUUAGAACAAAUCUGAGUCAUAAAUACAAUCUAAGGUGACUGGAAUCCAAAAUGACUCAAAAUUUGUCCAAAAAAAUAGAUAGAGAUGGUCCAAAAUGACUUGAAAUUUGUCUAAAAUUACUCAAAUUUACCCAGCAUUACAAUA